This 212-nucleotide long non-coding RNA is filed under the name Lathyrus oleraceus (garden pea). RNAcentral's name for it is "Pisum sativum (pea) long non-coding RNA (PSAT_LNC007364)". Lineage: Eukaryota; Viridiplantae; Streptophyta; Magnoliopsida; Fabales; Fabaceae. The record is from RNAcentral.
AAUUGGGUGUAAGACACUUCCCCUAGAGUCAUGGACUUCCUUGACUAUCAGCCGCUUAUGUCAAUUUACUUGUCAGGUGACUGCUCCAUCAAAGUCAUCUACUCUAAGUGAGAUCUUCGUAUCGACCCUUACGAGGAAGGCACCUCGGUGGCCUAUACUACGCGACCAUCGGUCUAAGCUAGCCAUAGUUUUAAAGGUUCUAAAAGGGGUCU